This 76-nucleotide transfer RNA is filed under the name Acidimicrobiales bacterium. Its description in RNAcentral is "tRNA-Thr". It matches the Rfam family "tRNA". Rfam says of the family: Transfer RNA (tRNA) molecules are approximately 80 nucleotides in length. Their secondary structure includes four short double-helical elements and three loops (D, anti-codon, and T loops). The record is from RNAcentral. Lineage: Bacteria; Bacillati; Actinomycetota; Acidimicrobiia; Acidimicrobiales.
GCCCGGGUAGCUCAGUCGGCAGAGCGGCUCACUCGUAAUGAGCAGGUCAGGGGUUCGAUUCCCCUCUCGGGCUCCA